RNAcentral lists this ribosomal RNA (133 nucleotides) under uncultured bacterium. RNAcentral's name for it is "partial 16S ribosomal RNA". The record is from RNAcentral.
GGUACCGUCAGUCGGACCGUGUAUUACUCGAUCCGGGGUUCGUCCCACCUGACAGGGGUUUACAACCCUGAGGCCUUCCUCCCCCACGCGGCGUCGCUGCGUCAGGCUUUUCGCCCAUUGCGCAAUAUUCCCC